CCGGGGAGUGACGCGGAGCCCAGAAGGCAUUAAAUAAAUAUGAGAGGAAGUCAUUUCCUGAGCAGCGCCAGCUCACGUUGGUCACAAGAGCGACAUAAAUAGAUCACCUGUCACGUGAAAAUACCAUCAGCUGAGCGACAAGACACCUGCCCGUGCACGUCUGGUGAUGCCCUUUCCUGACAGAUGGAAUAUGAUCAUAUCGUGUUCUAUCCAGCAGGAGCUGAUCGCCUGGAUCACAAGACACAGAGGAGGAAAUAACCAUCAACGGAAUAGAAACAGGGCCAGAGAAAGUGUUGCUGCACCUCUGCUGAAGUAUCGGCCAUAGAGGCGAGUCUCUAAUUGUAUUUCGACUUUUCCCUGAGAAGAUGUUUGUUUUGUCCUGCAUGGCUCAGACGCCCCGGCAUUUCG
Molecule: long non-coding RNA, 408 nt
Filed under: Takifugu rubripes (torafugu)
Lineage: Eukaryota; Metazoa; Chordata; Actinopteri; Tetraodontiformes; Tetraodontidae
Description: lncRNA (ENSTRUG00000026458.1)
Source: RNAcentral